This 85-nucleotide transfer RNA is filed under the name Felis catus (domestic cat). It matches the Rfam family "tRNA". From Rfam's summary of the family: Transfer RNA (tRNA) molecules are approximately 80 nucleotides in length. Their secondary structure includes four short double-helical elements and three loops (D, anti-codon, and T loops). Further hydrogen bonds mediate the characteristic L-shaped molecular structure. tRNAs have two regions of fundamental functional importance: the anti-codon, which is responsible for specific mRNA codon recognition, and the 3' end, to which the tRNAs corresponding amino acid is attached (by aminoacyl-tRNA synthetases). tRNAs cope with the degeneracy of the genetic code in two manners: having more than one tRNA (with a specific anti-codon) for a particular amino acid; and 'wobble' base-pairing, i.e. permitting non-standard base-pairing at the 3rd anti-codon position. RNAcentral also lists the same sequence under 1 other name. Lineage: Eukaryota; Metazoa; Chordata; Mammalia; Carnivora; Felidae. The record is from Rfam by way of RNAcentral.
GCCUGGGUGGCUCAGUCGGUUGAGCGUCUGACUUCAGCUCAGGUCACGAUCUCGCGGUCCGCGAGUUCGAGCCCCGCAUCGGGCU